RNAcentral lists this ribosomal RNA (540 nucleotides) under Penicillium griseofulvum. RNAcentral describes it as "eukaryotic LSU rRNA". The stretch from base 161 to 313 matches the Rfam family "5.8S ribosomal RNA". Lineage: Eukaryota; Fungi; Ascomycota; Eurotiomycetes; Eurotiales; Aspergillaceae. The record is from RNAcentral.
UCUGGGUCCACCUCCCACCCGUGUUUAUUUACCUUGUUGCUUCGGCGGGCCCGCCUUAACUGGCCGCCGGGGGGCUUACGCCCCCGGGCCCGCGCCCGCCGAAGACACCCUCGAACUCUGUCUGAAGAUUGUAGUCUGAGUGAAAAUAUAAAUUAUUUAAAACUUUCAACAACGGAUCUCUUGGUUCCGGCAUCGAUGAAGAACGCAGCGAAAUGCGAUACGUAAUGUGAAUUGCAAAUUCAGUGAAUCAUCGAGUCUUUGAACGCACAUUGCGCCCCCUGGUAUUCCGGGGGGCAUGCCUGUCCGAGCGUCAUUGCUGCCCUCAAGCACGGCUUGUGUGUUGGGCCCCGUCCUCCGAUUCCGGGGGACGGGCCCGAAAGGCAGCGGCGGCACCGCGUCCGGUCCUCGAGCGUAUGGGGCUUUGUCACCCGCUCUGUAGGCCCGGCCGGCGCUUGCCGAUCAACCCAAAUUUUUAUCCAGGUUGACCUCGGAUCAGGUAGGGAUACCCGCUGAACUUAAGCAUAUCAAUAAGCCGGAGGA